This 439-nucleotide ribosomal RNA is filed under the name uncultured Nitrososphaerota archaeon. Its description in RNAcentral is "bacterial SSU rRNA". It matches the Rfam family "Archaeal small subunit ribosomal RNA", at positions 338 to 767 of the family's 1478-position model. Lineage: Archaea; Thermoproteati; Nitrososphaerota. The record is from RNAcentral.
GGCGAGAAAACUUUAGCAAAUGUGCGAAAAGCACGACAAGGGUUAAUCCGAGUGGUUUCUGCUAAAGGAAACCUUUUGCCAGUUCCUAGAAACACUGGUGAAUAAGGGGUGGGCAAGUUCUGGUGUCAGCCGCCGCGGUAAAACCAGCACCUCAAGUGGUCAGGAUGAUUAUUGGGCCUAAAGCAUCCGUAGCCUGCUUUGUUAGUUUUCGGUUAAAUCUAUUCGCUCAACGAAUAGGCUGCCGGGAAUACUGCAAAGCUAGGGAGUGGGAGAGGUAGACGGUACUCGGUAGGAAGGGGGUAAAAAUCCUUUGAUCUAUUGAUGACCACCUGUGGCGAAGGCGGUCUACCAGAACACGUCCGACGGUGAGGGAUGAAAAGCUGGGGGAGCAAACCGGAUUAGAGUACCCGGGUAGUCCCAGCGUGUAAACUAUGCAAAC